CCUGGCGCCCCACGAGAGGCUCACUGACCUCGCCGUCGUACCUCGUGAGAAAGCGCACACUGGGGCCGCCGCUCGAGAACAACCCCAAGACUCCCCCGUCAUCGCGAGAUGAGGGCCUUCGUCUCCUGCAUGGCCUAGAGACCAAUCUCGCGACCUCUCUCCAAACGCCUCAGGAGGCUUGACUCGCUUUAGUCCACCCAGUGAGCUCCAAGAGAUACCCGUCGCGACUCGAGAGCAGAGCGGGGUUCUUUGCUUCCACUCGAGAUGGAUGCCUGUCUCCCCGGGUGUGUCUGGAAUGCAACCCCGAGAUCCCUGUCGCCCCUGGAGAGGAACACUGGCUUCUGGACACAAGCCUAGAUGAGGUCUAUUGGCCCUGCAGUCACUCGAGAGCAAUCCCCAGCUUUCCUUCGCAACUCGAAUGGAAGAUUGGACUUCCCUGGGCCAACACAAGAGGCAUCCUGAAUUCCCCGUCGUAACUCGAGAAUCCCGCUGCAACUCGAGAAAAUCCACGUGGUUCCCCCGUCAUCGCAAGAUGAAGCCCUUUCCCGCUACAGUGUCUCAGGAGAAGUCCCACGUUAGGUAUUGGAGGUCGAAACGGUACUUGGCACCCUUGAUGCGACCCACAAAGUGCCCCGACAUCCCGGUCUCCCUCAAGAGGAACACCGAGGUUUUCCCGCACCACUUCCUCUGAGCCCCUUCUACCCUCCUGAUCUGGACAGGAGGGUCGACUCCCCUGCUUUGUCUGGAAGGGGUUCCCGACCUUCCGGUCGCACCUCAGGAUGAGGCCGGUC
This is a long non-coding RNA of Bos taurus (domestic cattle), 791 nucleotides long. Lineage: Eukaryota; Metazoa; Chordata; Mammalia; Artiodactyla; Bovidae. The record is from Ensembl.